This is a small nucleolar RNA of Magnolia sinica, 107 nucleotides long. Lineage: Eukaryota; Viridiplantae; Streptophyta; Magnoliopsida; Magnoliales; Magnoliaceae. The record is from RefSeq and is a predicted model, not a curated record.
AAGCCGUGUUGUGGGCAUGAAUUGACAAGAUCCUUAAACCUUUCCCAACAUUGGUAGAAUGUUUCAUCCUCCUUUUGGGCAAAGCUCAUGAUUGCUUUUCUAAGGGU